GUUUUUGUAGUUGAAUAACAACGGUGGUUUUUCAAGUCAUUAGUCCUGGUUAAAGUCCUGGCAGAAACUAU
This 71-nucleotide transfer RNA is filed under the name Oreochromis niloticus x Oreochromis aureus. RNAcentral describes it as "tRNA-Glu". It matches the Rfam family "tRNA". Rfam says of the family: Transfer RNA (tRNA) molecules are approximately 80 nucleotides in length. Their secondary structure includes four short double-helical elements and three loops (D, anti-codon, and T loops). The record is from RNAcentral. Lineage: Eukaryota; Metazoa; Chordata; Actinopteri; Cichliformes; Cichlidae.